UACGUAGGUGGCAAGCGUUGUCCGGAUUUACUGGGCGUAAAGGGAGCGUAGGCGGACUUUUAAGUGGGAUGUGAAAUACCCGGGCUCAACCUGGGUGCUGCAUUCCAAACUGGAAGUCUAGAGUACAGGAGGGGAAAGUGGAAUUCCUAGUGUAGCGGUGAAAUGCGUAGAGAUUAGGAAGAACACCAGUGGCGAAGGCGACUUUCUGGACUGUAACUGACGCUGAGGCUCGAAAGCGUGGGGAGCAAACAGG
RNAcentral lists this ribosomal RNA (253 nucleotides) under uncultured Clostridiaceae bacterium. RNAcentral's name for it is "partial 16S ribosomal RNA". It matches the Rfam family "Bacterial small subunit ribosomal RNA", at positions 524 to 776 of the family's 1533-position model. Lineage: Bacteria; Bacillati; Bacillota; Clostridia; Eubacteriales; Clostridiaceae. The record is from RNAcentral.